This 301-nucleotide ribosomal RNA is filed under the name uncultured bacterium. RNAcentral's name for it is "partial 16S ribosomal RNA". It matches the Rfam family "Bacterial small subunit ribosomal RNA", at positions 509 to 807 of the family's 1533-position model. The record is from RNAcentral.
CAGCCGCCGCGGUAAUACGUAGGGUGCAAGCGUUAAUCGGAAUUACUGGGCGUAAAGCGUGCGCAGGCGGUUUGUUAAGACAGAUGUGAGAUCCCCGGGCUCAACCUGGGAACUGCAUUUGUGACUGGCAAGCUAGAGUGUGGCAGAGGGGGGUGGAAUUCCCCGUGUAGCAGUGAAAUGCGUAGAUAUGCGGAGGAACACCGAUGGCGAAGGCAGCCCCCUGGGCCAACACUGACGCUCAUGCACGAAAGCGUGGGGAGCAAACAGGAUUAGAUACCCCUGUAGUCCCUGUCUCUUAUAC